This is a long non-coding RNA of Panicum virgatum (switchgrass), 917 nucleotides long. RefSeq lists it as uncharacterized. NCBI's taxonomy places the organism in Eukaryota, Viridiplantae, Streptophyta, Magnoliopsida, Poales, Poaceae. The record is from RefSeq and is a predicted model, not a curated record. The transcript has 2 exons.
AGCCGCGCGCAAGUUAUCCCCCACGCGCCUCCUUCCAGAGGACGCCUCCGACACGACCACGUCUUCCAUUUCGAGCUGUCUCCGCCGCUCUGCAGCCACACGCGCCUCUUCUCCCCAUCGAUGCAACCUCCCCGGCGGGCGACAAGGGCGGCGGCGGGGGCCACCGGUGCUCGCCAUCGCGACGCGGAGGAGCAGGGGAGCGCGCCUCGCACCCGCGCUCAACUCGUGCGGGACUCACUAACCGCGUGGUGAUCCUGCUCCCCACCGGCCGCGAGGAGCUCGCGGUCCACUCCGGCGCCGCCGUGGACCCAAUCGCCCCCAAUCCCACCCAAUCCUUGGCCCGAGCCGAGAUCUAGGGGCCAAUCGCACUGCCGCGGAUCGAGGGGAUGACACCGCAGAUGACCGGCGCACCCAGCUCGGCAGCAGCGGACGGCGGCGCAGCGGCUGCCAAGCUGCAGUUCCACCACUACCACCACCACCGCGUGCCCCCUGAGCCACCACCAUCCCAUGCCGGCCUCGCUCCUCUCCAAGCUCGCCUUCUGGAGCCAAGGUGCAGCUCGACGUCGACGAUGCUAUAGAUGAUGUUGGAGGAGGCGGUGCACAUUGGGUUCUUGUGGAGGCGGCAGCCGCGGUGGAUGAGAUCCAUGCGGCAAGGGUGGUUGGCUGCAGCUUCCUCAGCCGAGGAAAGGCGUCCAUAGGUGGAGGAGAAAGCACACAAGCUCGCCAUGGCAGCGUUUGCUUUUUUUUUAAUGUUGCAUAAACAGCUUUUUUAUGUUGCCUCGGGUGAUUUAUGAUGUUUGAAAAAAAUCCCAUCCUGCAAUCUAUAAAUUUUGAUGUUGCACCAACUAAGUUUGGAUGUUGGUAUUAUUCUUUUUCAAUGUUGCACUAAGUGAGUAUGCAUGUUCAGAUUAUAGUAC